GACGAAGGUGGCGAGCGUUGUUCGGAAUCACUGGGCUUAAAGAGCACGUAGGCGGACGAUCUUGCGCCUUGUGAAAGCCCCCGGCUCAACCGGGGAAUAGCUUGGCGAACGGAUCGUCUUGAGGCAGGCAGGGGCGUGGGGAACUCUUGGUGGAGCGGUGGAAUGCGUAGAUAUCAAGAGGAACGCCGGUGGCGAAGGCGCCGCGCUGGACCUGUCCUGACGCUGAGGUGCGAAAGCCAGGGGAG
This 245-nucleotide ribosomal RNA is filed under the name uncultured bacterium. Its description in RNAcentral is "partial 16S ribosomal RNA". It matches the Rfam family "Bacterial small subunit ribosomal RNA", at positions 524 to 768 of the family's 1533-position model. The record is from RNAcentral.